UAGCGGCGGACGGGUGAGUAAUACUUAGGAAUCUGCCUAUUAAUGGGGGACAACAUCUCGAAAGGGAUGCUAAUACCGCAUACGCCCUACGGGGGAAAGCAGGGGAUCACUUGUGACCUUGCGUUAAUAGAUGAGCCUAAGUCGGAUUAGCUAGUUGGUGGGGUAAAGGCCUACCAAGGCGACGAUCUGUAGCGGGUCUGAGAGGAUGAUCCGCCACACUGGGACUGAGACACGGCCCAGACUCCUACGGGAGGCAGCAGUGGGGAAUAUUGGACAAUGGGGGGAACCCUGAUCCAGCCAUGCCGCGUGUGUGAAGAAGGCCUUAUGGUUGUAAAGCACUUUAAGCGAGGAGGAGGCUCUUCUAGUUAAUACCUAGGAUGAGUGGACGUUACUCGCAGAAUAAGCACCGGCUAACUCUGUGCCAGCAGCCGCGGUAAUACAGAGGGUGCGAGCGUUAAUCGGAUUUACUGGGCGUAAAGCGUGCGUAGGCGGCUUUUUAAGUCGGAUGUGAAAUCCCCGAGCUUAACUUGGGAAUUGCAUUCGAUACUGGGAAGCUAGAUAUGGGAGAGGAUGGUAGAAUUCCAGGUGUAGCGGUGAAAUGCGUAGAGAUCUGGAGGAAUACCGAUGGCGAAGGCGCCAUCUGGCCUAUACUGACGCUGAGGACGAAAGCAUGGGGAGC
RNAcentral lists this ribosomal RNA (679 nucleotides) under Acinetobacter bereziniae. RNAcentral describes it as "bacterial SSU rRNA". It matches the Rfam family "Bacterial small subunit ribosomal RNA", at positions 93 to 769 of the family's 1533-position model. The record is from RNAcentral. Lineage: Bacteria; Pseudomonadati; Pseudomonadota; Gammaproteobacteria; Moraxellales; Moraxellaceae.